GCCUGAGGCGUCCCAAAGAGGGGACCGAGUCUUCAGAGUUCCCCCCGAGUCCCGCUUCCUUUACUUUCGCGCGAAGCUCGUUUUUCACAGACGGCCUGUACCAGCUCCAGGUUUACAUCUUCGCUACUUCCCGCCGGUGAUAUGGGAAAUCCGCCUCCUUAAGGAAGGCUGGACUCUGGAUGCCAGGAUGUCCAAUUAAGAGAUUCACAUGAGCCCGGAUGUGGUGGUUGUCAGUCUCACACAGUGAUCAAUGUGAACUGAAAGCAGAUGGCCUUUCCUGAAUGUGUUGCACUAUGUAAAACCCUUGAGUAGGAGAGGAACACCCAUAAAUGACAAGACUGAAUUUGUAAGUGUCAUGGUAAGUGGAAUUAAUAUCAUACGAAAGGUGUUUGAGUUAUUAUUUAAACGUCUAAAAAACUUCAAACAGGCAAAUUCCAAGAAUAAUACUAUAAACUGUCAUGUACUUUUGAUUUGGAUUUACCAAUUGUUAAUCUUUUUCAAUAUUUUAUUUCUUCCAUAUUUUUUUUUAUUUUAUUUUGUUUUGUUUUUUGUUUUUUGAGACAAGGUAUCACUAUAUAGUUCAGGCAGUCUUUGAACUCACUAUGUUUCCUAGGUUGGCCUCAAACUCACAGCAAUCCUCCUGACUCAGCCUCUAGAGUGCUGGGAUUACAGGCCUAUGCAACUACACCUGGCUUCUCCCAUAUAUUUUUAUUGUUAAUAGUGCUGAGCCAUUUCAGACAUCAUGAUACUUUACUUCCAAAUAGUUCUGCGUGUAUCUUCUAAGAAUAGGAACAUAUGGGCUGGGGAUUUAGCUCAGUGGUUUCGCUGUCUGCUGCACAAGUGCAAGAACCCAAGUUUGAUCCCCGGCACCAAAAAAAAAAAAAAAAAAGAAUAGGAAUAUAUUGUUACAUAACCCCCAGAAUAAUUAUCAAAUUUGGGGACUGUAACAUUCCUACAAAAUUACCUAGACCUGGGUACAGUGGGCUGCACCUGUAGUCCCCGCUAUCCGGAAGCCUGAGGCAGGAAGAUCACUUGAGCCCAGUAAUAUGAGGCCACCUUGGGCAAUAUAUAAA
Molecule: long non-coding RNA, 1073 nt
Filed under: Heterocephalus glaber (naked mole-rat)
Lineage: Eukaryota; Metazoa; Chordata; Mammalia; Rodentia; Bathyergidae
Description: lncRNA (ENSHGLG00000044090.1)
Source: RNAcentral